Bufo gargarizans (Asiatic toad) is the source of this 1381-nucleotide non-coding RNA. Lineage: Eukaryota; Metazoa; Chordata; Amphibia; Anura; Bufonidae. The record is from the annotation of a RefSeq genome assembly.
AUGUGCUUCUAUGUUUCUGGCCGCUCAGCUGCCGUGGUCACAUUUGACCACGAAUCAGUCAAGCAACCAAGUGUGUUCCCUUUAAUUGCCUGUACAAGCUUGACUUCUGACAUGAUCAGUAUUGGAUGUUUGGCUACUGGUUAUGUUCCUAGACCAGUAAAAAUCCAAUGGAAUUCAGGAACCUUAACAACUGCUUCGAAGGAGAUGACAAUACAAUACAGUGAUGGAUUUUCCUCAAUUAGCUUCCUGACCAUACCCCAAUCCAGCCUGAAGAAAGAAACUUUUACCUGUACAGUGGAACAUGGACCAUCCAAUUUUAAAACCAGCAAAGAAGUAACAGUGAAGGAAAGAUCACAAGAUAAAACUGAUUUGGCGAAGCCCUCUGGAAUAUAUGUAUUCUGUCCUCAUCGUAGGGAAAUUGAAGAAGUUAAAAGUAAUAGUCAAUUAAGUCUAGUUUGUAUGAUCAAAAGUUCCAGCAAGGAUGAUGUCAGUGUUUCAUGGUCGCAGGGUAGACAUCCUAUAACUGGCAACAUAGAAUAUACAGCAAAAGAACUUCAAACUAAUGUAAUAUUCAGUAUUCUGAUCAUCAGGAAGGAACACUGGGAAAGCAAUAAAACCUAUAUUUGCAAAUCCAGUAAAGGAAGUGAAGAUGAAGUGAACAUGGAAAAAUGCAAGGGCUAAAAGAACCGAUUUAUGUGCUUCACAUCACAAAUCCCAGCCUGUGUAACAUCUUUUGCCACCCCAUAUCCCCAGUCUUGUUAUAUCUGACUACAACUGACUGUAAUGCAUUAAAAUUAAAAACGUUUACUAGUGUAGUUCUAUGUACUUGUAUAUCAUCACAAAGAGCCACUUGUCCUAUCAGCACUUUAUUGCAUUUUCUAACAUCUACUUGCACUAGAGAUGAGUAAACCUUUUAAAACCUUUGAAGCUUUGCCAGUAUUUGGCCAAUGAACAAAUUCCCUAUCAUAUAAGGCAAUGGAGCAUAAGAUCCCUCUUUUUGGCCUCCAUUAACUUAUAUUAGGAAAAUAUAACUCUAGAAUAACACAUAAUAGCCAAGUAGUCAUCCAUAUAUAUUACUUUUUAUGUGACUAUGAACAUUUUAAUAUCAGCUUAAGUAGUAUUUACAAGAGUAUCUACUGUAUAAGGCGACCAUCUCCCAGGACAGAUUACAGACAGAGACAUACCUCAGCCCUUUCCAUAGGGCAAUUGUCAGCCGAGCCCAAUGGAUGAUUGUGUUUCACAAAUUGUUAAGGAAUUCUAAAUCUCUCUGUGCUAUAACGUUGUCUUUUUCAUACAUAUGUCAUAGCUGUAUAUAGAGAAACAUAGAAUGUGUCGGCAGAUAAGAACCAUUUGGCCCAUCUAGUCUGCCCAAUAUACUGAA